This 502-nucleotide long non-coding RNA is filed under the name Rattus norvegicus (Norway rat). Its description in RNAcentral is "long non-coding RNA NONRATT018784". Lineage: Eukaryota; Metazoa; Chordata; Mammalia; Rodentia; Muridae. The record is from RNAcentral.
GGACAGGAGAAGACAAUAUCAAACCCCUCGAAACUGGAGUUGGUCAUCUGUGACCUCAGUGUUGGGCUGUGAUCAAACUUAAGUUGUCAUAUAGAAUAGCAAGUGCUUUCAAUGGCUAAACCAUCUCUCCAGACCAACUUCCUUUAAGGUACAGUUUCACUCUAGGUAACCCUGGCUGGCCUUGAACAUGUGGAUUCUCCUGUCUCUGCUUCUCCCUAGUCAAUACACCCCGAUAGGAUCUAUAAACACACACACACACACACACACACACACACACACACACACAGACAAGGUAAAGGUAGGUAGGGCAGGAAGAAUGUCUGAAUUGCAGAGGUGUAGAGAGGUACACAGGAAGCACCCAGCAAGUGCUCACUGGGUGGAAGCCAAGCCUGUAGCUUAUUUCAAGGACUGCCCCCCCACCCCAAAUUCCAGAGCAAAGUCAGUAGAGGCCAAAAUCCAGAUUUGCAUUCCUGGCCUUUGGCUCCAGGAUGGUGUCAACCUC